This 64-nucleotide transfer RNA is filed under the name Leptospirillum ferriphilum ML-04. RNAcentral's name for it is "tRNA-Arg (CCG) (tRNA-Arg-CCG-2-1)". The record is from RNAcentral. Lineage: Bacteria; Pseudomonadati; Nitrospirota; Nitrospiria; Nitrospirales; Nitrospiraceae.
AAAAUAGCGUUUUAUCGGAUUCCGGUUCCGAGUGUCGGGAGUUCAAAUCUCUCCAGGCGCGCCA